Molecule: ribosomal RNA, 449 nt
Filed under: uncultured bacterium
Lineage: Bacteria
Description: bacterial SSU rRNA
Rfam family: Bacterial small subunit ribosomal RNA
Source: RNAcentral
UGGGGAAUAUUGGACAAUGGGGGCAACCCUGAUCCAGCAAUGCCGCGUGUGUGAAGAAGGCCUUAGGGUUGUAAAGCACUUUAGGCUGGGAGGAAGACGUGAAGUUUAAGAGAUAUUACGUUUGACUGUACCGGCAGAAUAAGCACCGGCUAACUCUGUGCCAGCAGCCGCGGUAAUACAGAGGGUGCGAGCGUUAAUCGGAGUUACUGGGCGUAAAGGGCGCGUAGGCGGUUAUUUAAGUGAGAUGUGAAAUCCCUGGGCUUAACCUAGGAACUGCAUCUCAUACUGGAUAGCUAGAGUAUUGUAGAGGGUAGUGGAAUUUCCGGUGUAGCGGUGAAAUGCGUAGAGAUCGGAAGGAACACCAGUGGCGAAGGCGGCUACCUGGACAAAUACUGACGCUGAGGCGCGAAAGCGUGGGGAGCAAACAGGAUUAGAUACCCGUGUAGUCC